UCUUUUUUAGGGUAAGACACAAUUAGCUUACCACUCAAUAGCACAUUCCUCACCUUCUAAACAACUCGGAUUUAACCAAUGGUUACAUUCUAAUUAACGUAAACGGAAUUUUACUCAUUGUUUAGAAUUAAUUCUACACAAACAAGUAGCAACAGAUGAAUUACCUUCAGAGAACAAGUAUGACAUCACUAUGGACUAGAUAUCAUUUUUUUUGAGUUUAAACUAAAAUCGAAGUCAACAAAUCCAAAUGAAUAGGAGAUAUAUCAAAACAACAGACACAUUAUAUAUUAAAACAGAUCUGGGAAAAUACAUAAGAAAACAUACCUAAACAACAAAUCAACAAAAAAUUUGAACACAAGAGGAAACAUCACCAAACAGCAGUCCCAAACCGGAGAAAAAAUUCUACCCAGGCGAAUCGAUAUGAAAUCAGCAGCCAAACAAACACGGCUUCGAAUUUAAACUGUUCGAAUCCAAACUAUGAAGCAUUCUACCAAAAUUCUACUGUUCUUCCAUUUUUUUUAUUCGUGAGUUUAAGAUCUCCAUUGAAGUUUGCCAACUCAGUUUCAGUUGUGCGCGUCCAAAACGUGAGUGAGGGAGUGACACUUUUUGCUGACUUCCAUGGAGAUGGGGGGUCAGCCACCCAUGGCCGAUGCCGUUAUUGAAAAAAAACAGAGAGAGGGGUGAUGAGAAUAGAUUGACGGCUAAGCUUUUAGGAGUGAAGGAGAUGGACUAGAUGCUAAAGGAUUUUUUUAUAUGUUUUGGUGGUGUUCUCUGAGAUUUUUCUCUGAUGAAGAAAGAAGAAGAGAGGUCCCCUUUAGAGCUCCCGUUUUCUUCUCCUGAAGGGCUCUAAUUCGCAGCUUUUGGUUGUAGGGUCUAUCUCUCAUAUCUUGUGUAUAUAUAGAUAUAUAGGUCUAGGUUGAUUUUUGUAGGGUUUU
Molecule: long non-coding RNA, 935 nt
Filed under: Nicotiana benthamiana
Lineage: Eukaryota; Viridiplantae; Streptophyta; Magnoliopsida; Solanales; Solanaceae
Description: long non-coding RNA (NBEN_LNC005810)
Source: RNAcentral